Molecule: RNA transcript, 4742 nt
Organism: Pezoporus occidentalis (night parrot)
Lineage: Eukaryota; Metazoa; Chordata; Aves; Psittaciformes; Psittacidae
Gene: FUBP1
Gene name: far upstream element binding protein 1
Exons: 22
Source: RefSeq, a predicted model, not a curated record
CCCCCCCACAGCACGAUGCCGCGCAGGAAUGUGAAAGGAUCCCGCCCGCCGCCAUUUUCUUUCUUUCUUGGCAAGCAGCGAGCGGGGAGGAAGCGGUAGGCGAGCGAGUAUGGCGGACUACUCUACAGUGCCUCCGCCUGCUUCAGGCGCGCCCGGGGGAGGCGGCGGUGGAGGUGGAGGAGUGAACGAUGCCUUUAAAGACGCACUGCAGAGAGCUAGGCAGAUUGCAGCAAAAAUUGGAGGAGAUGCUGGCACAUCAAUGAAUUCCAACGACUACGGUUAUGGAGGACAAAAAAGACCUCUUGAGGAUGGAGAUGGCUCUUGGACAAGUCCGAGCAGUACAACACACUGGGAGGGAAUGCCCUCUCCUUUUAAAGAUCAACCAGAUGCUAAGAAAGUUGCUCCUCAGAAUGACUCUUUUGGAAAUCAGCUACCACCAAUGCAUCAACAGCAAAGGUCUGUGAUGACAGAAGAGUACAAAGUUCCAGAUGGCAUGGUUGGAUUCAUAAUUGGCAGAGGUGGAGAGCAGAUCUCACGCAUACAGCAAGAGUCGGGCUGUAAAAUACAGAUUGCACCUGAUAGUGGAGGCCUGCCUGAAAGAUCGUGUAUGCUAACUGGAACACCAGAGUCUGUUCAAUCAGCAAAAAGAUUACUUGAUCAGAUAGUUGAAAAGGGAAGACCUGCACCUGGCUUUCACCAUAGUGAUGGACCUGGAAAUGCAGUCCAAGAAAUCAUGAUUCCAGCAAGUAAAGCAGGAUUAGUUAUUGGAAAAGGUGGAGAGACGAUUAAACAGUUGCAGGAGCGGGCAGGCGUCAAAAUGGUCAUGAUUCAAGAUGGUCCACAGAACACUGGUGCAGACAAGCCCCUUAGGAUAACUGGAGACCCUUAUAAAGUUCAGCAAGCCAAGGAAAUGGUGCUGGAGUUAAUUCGUGAUCAAGGUGGCUUUAGAGAGGUGCGCAACGAAUAUGGGUCAAGAAUAGGAGGAAAUGAAGGGAUAGACGUUCCAAUACCGCGGUUUGCUGUAGGUAUUGUAAUUGGAAGAAAUGGAGAGAUGAUAAAAAAGAUACAAAAUGAUGCUGGUGUUAGGAUCCAGUUCAAGCCAGAUGACGGAACAACUCCAGAUAGGAUAGCCCAAAUCACAGGGCCUCCUGACAGAUGUCAGCAUGCUGCAGAAAUUAUUACAGAUCUCCUUCGAAGUGUUCAGGCCGGUAACCCUGGUGGCCCAGGACCUGGUGGUCGAGGAAGGGGUAGAGGCCAAGGCAACUGGAACAUGGGCCCUCCUGGUGGAUUACAGGAAUUCAAUUUUAUUGUUCCCACUGGCAAAACUGGAUUAAUCAUUGGCAAAGGUGGUGAAACUAUUAAAAGUAUAAGCCAGCAGUCUGGUGCUAGAAUAGAACUUCAAAGAAAUCCUCCACCUAAUGCGGAUCCCAACAUGAAGAUGUUUACUAUCCGUGGAACACCACAGCAAAUAGAUUAUGCACGACAACUCAUAGAAGAAAAGAUUGGAGGUCCAGUAAAUCCAUUGGGUCCACCUGUUCCACAUGGACCCCAUGGUGUUGUUCCUGGCCCACAUGGACCUCCUGGGCCACCAGGUCCUGGUGCUCCCAUGGGACCAUAUAACCCAGCUCCUUAUAAUCCAGGGCCUCCAGGUCCUGCACCUCAUGGUCCUCCUGCUCCAUAUGCUCCACAAGGAUGGGGAAAUGCUUACCCACACUGGCAGCCACCAAACCCACCAGAUCCAGGUAAACCAGGAACAGAUCCCAAUUCAGCAGCGUGGGCAGCUUAUUAUGCUCACUACUAUCAGCAGCAAGCACAGCCACCACCUGCAGCCCCUCCUGGUGGACCAGCUACAACCCAAACUAAUGGACAAGGAGAUCAGCCAAAUCCAGCACCAGCAGGGCAGGUUGACUAUACCAAGGCCUGGGAGGAGUACUACAAAAAGAUGGGUCAAGCAGUUCCUGCCCCUGCAGGCGCUCCGCCAGGUGGUCAGCCGGAUUACAGUGCAGCAUGGGCUGAGUACUACAGGCAACAGGCAGCAUAUUACGCCCAGACAAGUCCACAGGGAAUGCCACAACAUCCUCCAGCACCACAGUGCAGGUUUGAUCCAGCCAGUAUAGAACUAGCUCUAUAGGGGUGAGAAGGACUGUGCUGUGUAUCAUCCUUGAUUGUUCCUUCAAGGAGCAUUGCACUGUAAGUACAUCAGAAUGACAAAUUGAUGAACUGCAACAGUAUCUUUUUGUCAAUGUUCCACAUAAUGAAAAUGCCAUACUUGUGUAACUAUUAUGUUGGAAUACAGUGCUAAUACCUUAGGAAACCGUAAUUACUUCUUAAUUCAGAAACAUAGGUUUGCGUAUAUAUAUGCACAUACACAUAAUAUGAGCUUUUGGGUAAGUAUUUGUGAACCGUUCAGCAAUAGCUAAAAAAAAAUUGUGUUUCUUUGUAUCUGAGUAAUAGUGUUUUUUUUUAUUAGUACUCCUGAGACAGGUGUAUUGUUCAGUGUUUUAAAGUAUGCGUAUCGUAACACUCAAGUCUUUGGAACAAGUUGUUAGACAGAAGUUGUCUUUGCCUUCAGCUAGUUGGCAGAUACAUAGUGAUGUAGGUAUGUUUUAAAUCUAUAACUGUUAAAUUGCUUUAUCUUUUGGAACACCAUAUUGUUGCUUUGAGAAUAAGUUUUUUUUUUUAGGGUGGCUGCACAGAAGUUAAGGCUUGAAAACUGAAGUAGUUAUUCAAGUAAUUAGCAAUGUAUAUAUUGUGCUGUAGAAAUAGAAGGAAUUCUUUUUAUCCAUUUUAAAAUUAGGAAUUAUUCUGGUAGCUUAAAAAAGGCUAGGACAGCAUUUGCUAUCUUUAGGGUAGGUUAUGAAGUUUAAUAGUUCAGAUAUUUUGCAUGGUAUUUUGUAGAUAACCUUAUAGAUUGGUGCAUUUAUUAUGUACUAAACUGAGCAGAAUUAAAUUCAGUGGAUUCUUUUAUCAUUCACAAAAUGGAGGCUGUUGAUUUUGAUUCAUUUAAGGUAUAAAAUCUUUAUUAAUUGCAAACAGUGCAAUUAUUUAUACUUCACAGUGCCUUCCCAGACCUUCCACCUUAGGUUCUGCUGCAAAAAAGCAACAGUGCUGAAGAUGCUGCAAGCACCAAAUCAUAGCUCAUAGAAUCAGGUCCUGAGAUAGUUACUACCAGUAAAGAGGAAUCCUUUGAGUGUAUGCCAUUGGUGAGCCGAUGAGCAUGGACCAUAGAAGGGCUCCAUGUAGAAGGUAAAAUUGGCAAAAACAUAACAGAUUUGAAAUGUAUCCCAUACAUAAUGGUGUAGGGUAUAAUUUUUGUUCUGAUCACUUUUCAUUCUUUAAAGUAUUAUUGUUUGACCAUAAAUGUUCCAUAAUCUGUUAAGUUUUUUAAACUGUGAUUUAAUAAUAUAAAUCAUCUAUUUUAAUUUAUAUUCUUCUAAACAGUCAAGCUUAGAUAUACUGAAUUUUUGAACUAAAACCAGUUGUGCUUCAGUUUCUCAAGCCACUUAAUAUUUCAUCUGUAGUUUAAUAUGUAACUUCAUUUUUGGCAUGAGAAAAGGUUAGGUGUGUACAUUUGGAUUUUGAUAACUGUGAAUUUAGUGUUGGGGCAAGUCACUUAUUCACUUCCUUUUACAUGAUACUUUUUUCUUCAACUGUUGUUCUGAAAUAUCUUGAACAGUCUUUCAAUUUUAGACAGUGGGAGGAGAUAAGAAAAUGCCAGUUGGAUGUUGCUAGUGUGUGGAAAGUGAGAUGUUCUUGUGUGUAGCAUUUGAGGUGUACUGACUUGCAGCUUUCUCACUGCUGAGCUUACACAGCAUGCUGUUCUUGCUAAGCAUAGUGUUUACUUUUCAAGUUUGUCUCCAAGCUCAUGGUUCUUGGCAGAACAGGAGCAGAUUAUGGGAGCUAUCCUGAUCCAAAAACAUGACUGGCCUUGCUUAGAAAUGUAAUUAACUUGUCCAAAAGGUGUCUUUAAAUGUUUCCUGCUUUUCCGCCCCGCCCUUUAGAGUCCUGCAGGUUUAGAAUGUGAAGAAUACAAAAAGUUUAAAAAGGAAAAUAUAAUUUUCAAAGUAGUACAAGUGUUUUCGUAUCACUUUCUGUAGCCUGUACUUUAAUAGGACAUGAAAUAAAAUGUCAGGUGGAUAAUCUUCAGUCUAGCUUUAUCAUAAGUCUUCUAGUUUAAGUUGUCCAGGCAGAGAGGAUCAUUAUUCACUUGCACAACCUCAACCUAUCUUCAAGAAUUUGUCCUUUUACUAGUGGCAUUUUAUGGGAUGAUAGAAAUUGUUUCUCCCCUGUUCUCUUCUGAAGUAAUGUUUUAAGUUAUUCCAUUGCAUGGUAGAAGCUUUUUAUUUUGCUUUUUUUUCUGGAAGAGGGGGGAGGAAAGGGAGGUCUGGGCUUUUCAGAAAGCAUACAGUUGGCAGGAUUCCCUCUUCCCUCGUAAUAGCUUAUAAAACUCUUUUAUGUAUGCACAAAUAUUUCUCUUGCGUGCAUGUGAAAUGCCUUUUCGUCCUGAGAAAAGUGUUCUCUGCAGAAACUACCCGUGUGUAAAAAGAAGAUUGGCUUUAAAAGGCAACUGUGAUGGGAACAGUGUCUUAGGGAGAUGCAGCUUGGACUGAGGUAAAUUGAAUGCUUUACAAAAAUGUGGUUUUGAGUUUGCAUUGACAUUGUAUGUAAUAUGGGUUACACGUUAACUGUAUUACGGUUUUUGUAUGUUUUUUUCUCAAUAAAUGUAAACUGAUGGAUAAUAA